CGUGUAGGCGGCCUCUUAAGUCUGGUGUGAAAGCCCGGGGCUUACCCCCGGAAGUGCACUGGAAACUGGGAGGCUAGAGUACCGGAGAGGAGGGUGGAAUUCCUGGUGUAGCGGUGAAAUGCGUAGAUAUCAGGAGGAACACCGGUGGCGAAGGCGGCCCUCUGGACGGAUACUGACGCUGAGACGCGAAAGCGUGGGGAGCAAACAGGAUUAGAUACCCUGGUAGUCCACGCCGUAAACGAUGGGCACUAGGUGUUCGGGGUAUUGACCCCCUGAGUGCCGCAGCUAACGCAUUAAGUGCCCCGCCUGGGGACUACGGCCGCAAGGUUAAA
This 332-nucleotide ribosomal RNA is filed under the name uncultured bacterium. Its description in RNAcentral is "bacterial SSU rRNA". It matches the Rfam family "Bacterial small subunit ribosomal RNA", at positions 568 to 898 of the family's 1533-position model. The record is from RNAcentral.